UUGAAGAUAGAAAUUCAGAUAUACCAGAACUGUGAUCAAACUGAGAAGACCAAGAGGUCCAAGGCCAAUGGCUUUUGGGAGCAGUGGAGGUGAACCUAAAGUUGGGGAGCGGCUUUAUUUGGGACUGGACUUUGGGACUUCUGGAACGAGGUUUGCCGUUAUCGAUAAACGAGGGAUAAUUCAUGCUGAGGGAAAGGGAGAAUACCCUCUUUUGUAUGGUUAUAUAUGACAACACUACUUGGAGAAGCAGAGGAUUUGGGUUUGUGACCAUCUCUAAUGAUCAGGAAGUAGAAGCAGCUGCUUGAUAGUUUAAUGGCUAUAUCAUGGCAUCUAGUUUAAAUGGACCUACUGUUGGAGAUCCACUCCCUGACAAUCUCAUGGAAUCUCCUGCAAGGUCUGAAACCAUGUUUUAUGCAAGGCAAACAUCUUCUCAAUGUUUCAGAUUACCUGUUCUUUAAUGCAGGUGUGGACUUUGGCCUAUGUCACCCCUGUGUACUUUAUAUUUUAGCUAUAGAUUAAUGAUACUGUUAAGUCAUUGCCCUCUACUUUAACUACUUUUUGUGAUUUGAAGUUGCAAUUUAAGUGGAUAUAUAUCUGUGAAACUAGUUCUCAAC
Long non-coding RNA from Rosa chinensis, 614 nucleotides. RefSeq lists it as uncharacterized. The record is from RefSeq and is a predicted model, not a curated record. Lineage: Eukaryota; Viridiplantae; Streptophyta; Magnoliopsida; Rosales; Rosaceae. The transcript has 4 exons.